This 342-nucleotide ribosomal RNA is filed under the name Triticum aestivum (bread wheat). RNAcentral describes it as "partial small subunit ribosomal RNA". The record is from RNAcentral. Lineage: Eukaryota; Viridiplantae; Streptophyta; Magnoliopsida; Poales; Poaceae.
AUGCAACAGGUGACCGUCCUUGAGGUAGAGGGUGGUAUUAGUACCCCUUCCAAGGGGCUCUCCAGUAUCACGAGUGAUGGUGAAGGAGCCACCAGCCUGAGACUCCCACACAUACUGCUCAUCAUUUUUUAUUUAUUUUUGAAUAGUUUGACUUGCUUAUCACAUGUGUCACACAUACUGCUCAUCAUCGUUGUGCUUGGUAGUCACAACGACUCGCUCAGCAACAAGGUAAGCAGAGUAGAAACCAACACCAAGGGUGUGUUUGGUUCGGGAACGAAGUGUAAUGGAAUGUCAUGGUUCCGUUCUACUAGAAUGGUUCGGUUCCAUCUCUGUGUUUGGUAG